RNAcentral lists this ribosomal RNA (253 nucleotides) under uncultured bacterium. RNAcentral describes it as "partial 16S ribosomal RNA". It matches the Rfam family "Bacterial small subunit ribosomal RNA", at positions 524 to 776 of the family's 1533-position model. The record is from RNAcentral.
UACGUAGGUGGCAAGCGUUGUCCGGAAUUAUUGGGCGUAAAGCGCGCGCAGGCGGUCCUUUAAGUCUGAUGUGAAAGCCCAUGGCUCAACCGUGGAGGGUCAUUGGAAACUGGGGGACUUGAGUGCAGAAGAGGAGAGUGGAAUUCCACGUGUAGCGGUGAAAUGCGUAGAGAUGUGGAGGAACACCAGUGGCGAAGGCGACUCUUUGGUCUGUAACUGACGCUGAGGAGCGAAAGCAUGGGGAGCGAACAGG